This 445-nucleotide ribosomal RNA is filed under the name uncultured bacterium. RNAcentral's name for it is "partial 16S ribosomal RNA". It matches the Rfam family "Bacterial small subunit ribosomal RNA", at positions 354 to 796 of the family's 1533-position model. The record is from RNAcentral.
GUGAGGAAUAUUGCGCAAUGGAGGCAACUCUGACGCAGCCAUGCCGCGUGCAGGAAGAAGGCGCUACGCGUUGUAAACUGCUUUUAACCGGGAAGAAACCCCAGGACGUGUCCUGGGUUGACGGUACCGGAGGAAUAAGCACCGGCUAACUUCGUGCCAGCAGCCGCGGUAAUACGAAGGGUGCAAGCGUUAUCCGGAUUCAUUGGGUUUAAAGGGUGCGUAGGCGGAGCGUUAAGUCAGUGGUGAAAUCCUGCAGCUUAACUGUAGACUUGCCAUUGAUACUGGUGCUCUUGAGUGCGCUUGAAGUGGGCGGAAUGUGCCGUGUAGCGGUGAAAUGCUUAGAUAUGGCACAGAACACCAAUUGCGAAGGCAGCUCACUAAGGCGAUACUGACGCUGAGGCACGAAAGCGUGGGGAUCGAACAGGAUUAGAAACCCUAGUAGUCC